This 88-nucleotide ribosomal RNA is filed under the name uncultured Butyricimonas sp. The record is from RNAcentral. Lineage: Bacteria; Pseudomonadati; Bacteroidota; Bacteroidia; Bacteroidales; Odoribacteraceae.
UAUAGCGACGGAGAUCCACCUCUUCCCAUCCCGAACAGAGAAGUUAAGCCCGUUAGCGCCGAUGGUACUGCCGAAUGGUGGGAGAGUA